Molecule: long non-coding RNA, 397 nt
Filed under: Salmo salar (Atlantic salmon)
Lineage: Eukaryota; Metazoa; Chordata; Actinopteri; Salmoniformes; Salmonidae
Description: lncRNA (ENSSSAG00000107824.1)
Source: RNAcentral
CAAUACAGUCUAUUAUAUAUCCACUAUACACCACAGAGUCAAUAAUAUAUCCACUAUGAACACAAUACACCACACAGUCUAUAAUAUAUCCACAAUACACCACACAGUCUAUAAUAUAUCCACAAUACACCACACAGUCUACAAUAUAACCACAAUACACCACACAGUCUAUAAUAUAUCCACUAUUGUCACGUCCUGGCCAGUAUAUAAGGUUAAUUGUUUUGUAGUUUGGUCAGGGCGUGGCAGGGGGUAUUUGUUUUAUGUGGUUCGGGGUGGUGUGUUUGUGUAAAGGGUGUUUGAUUUAGUAUUUCCGGGUUUUUGGUUGAUGGUCUAUGUGUUUGUAUUCUAUGGUUAGUCUGGUGUGUGUGUUUCUAUGGUGUUUGAUUUAGUAUUUCCG